UAAGUAGGCUGGAGAGUUCAGGGUGGAA
This 28-nucleotide non-coding RNA is filed under the name Mus musculus (house mouse). The record is from RNAcentral. Lineage: Eukaryota; Metazoa; Chordata; Mammalia; Rodentia; Muridae.